RNAcentral lists this non-coding RNA (30 nucleotides) under Mus musculus (house mouse). Lineage: Eukaryota; Metazoa; Chordata; Mammalia; Rodentia; Muridae. The record is from RNAcentral.
UCNGUAACAAGUGUGUCACAAGAUGGCUGA